GGGACAGUUGCCUCUAGAGAUAGAGCCUUCCCCUUCGGGGGACAAAGUGACAGGUGGUGCAUGGUUGUCGUCAGCUCGUGUCGUGAGAUGUUGGGUUAAGUCCCGCAACGAGCGCAACCCUUAAGCUUAGUUGCCAUCAUUAAGUUGGGCACUCUAAGUUGACUGCCGGUGACAAACCGGAGGAAGGUGGGGAUGACGUCAAAUCAUCAUGCCCCUUAUGAUUUGGGCUACACACGUGCUACAAUGGACAAUACAAAGGGCAGCGAAACCGCGAGGUCAAGCAAAUCCCAUAAAGUUGUUCUCAGUUCGGAUUGUAGUCUGCAACUCGACUACAUGAAGCUGGAAUCGCUAGUAAUCGUAGAUCAGCAUGCUACGGUGAAUACGUUCCCGGGUCUUGUACACACCGAA
Molecule: ribosomal RNA, 408 nt
Filed under: Staphylococcus sp. DHM1
Lineage: Bacteria; Bacillati; Bacillota; Bacilli; Caryophanales; Staphylococcaceae
Description: bacterial SSU rRNA
Rfam family: Bacterial small subunit ribosomal RNA
Source: RNAcentral